This 914-nucleotide ribosomal RNA is filed under the name uncultured marine archaeon. RNAcentral's name for it is "bacterial SSU rRNA". It matches the Rfam family "Archaeal small subunit ribosomal RNA", at positions 1 to 921 of the family's 1478-position model. The record is from RNAcentral.
UUCCGGUUGAUCCCGCCGGAGGCUACCGCUAUUGGAGUUCGAUUAAGCCAUGCGAGUCGCGAGUCUUAGGGACUCGGCGUACCGCUCAGUAACACGUGGGUAACCUGCCCUAUGCUGGGGGAUAACCUCGGGAAACUGAGAAUAAUACCCCAUAGUUCACCACGCCUGGAACGGUGGGUGGAUGAAAGCUCCGGCGGCAUAGGAUGGGCCUGCGGCGUAUCAGGUUGUAGGGGGUGUAAUGUACCCUCUAGCCAUCUACGCGUACGGGUGUUGGGAGACAUCGCCCGGAGAUGGAUUCUGAGACACGAAUCCAGACCCUACGGGGUGCAGCAGGCGCGAAAACUUGGCAAUGCGAGCAAUCGUGACCAGGGAACUCCAAGUGCAUCGGGUAAGACCGAUGCUUUUCUUGACUCUUCAAAGGUCUUGGAAUAAGGGGUGGGUAAGGACGGUGCCAGCCGCCGCGGUAAUACCGGCGCCUCAAGUGGUAGUCGCUUUUAUUGGGCCUAAAACGUCCGUAGCCGGUUUGGUACAUUCGUGGGUAAAUCAAGGCGCUCAACGUCUUGAAUUCUGCGAGCACGGCCAGACUUGGGACCGGGUGAGGUGUGGGGUACGCUCAGGGUAGGGGUAAAAUCCUGUCAUCCUGAGCGGACCACCUGUUGCGAAGGCGCCACACUAGAACGGAUCCGACGGUCAGGGACGAAGCCUAGGGGCACGAACCGGAUUAGAUACCCGGGUAGUCCUAGGUGUAAACGCUGUGGACUUGGUGUUGGGGAUUCUCCGAGGAUUCUCAGUGCCGAAGCGAAGGUGAUAAGUCCACUGCCUGGGGAGUACGGUCGCAAGGCUGAAACUUAAAGGAAUUGGCGGGGGAGCACCGCAACCUGAGGAUUGUGCGGUUUAAUUGGAUUCAACGCCGG